Molecule: ribosomal RNA, 465 nt
Filed under: Vreelandella stevensii
Lineage: Bacteria; Pseudomonadati; Pseudomonadota; Gammaproteobacteria; Oceanospirillales; Halomonadaceae
Description: partial 16S ribosomal RNA
Rfam family: Bacterial small subunit ribosomal RNA
Source: RNAcentral
CCUACGGGAGGCUGCAGUGGGGAAUAUUGGACAAUGGGCGAAAGCCUGAUCCAGCCAUGCCGCGUGUGUGAAGAAGGCCUUCGGGUGGUAAAGCACUUUCAGUGGGGAAGAAAGCCUUGGGGCUAAUACCCUCGAGGAAGGACAUCACCCACAGAAGAAGCACCGGCUAACUCCGUACCAGCAGCCGCGGUAAUACGGAGGGUGCGAGCGUUAAUCGGAAUUACUGGGCGUAAAGCGCGCGUAGGCGGUCUGAUAAGCCGGUUGUGAAAGCCCCGGGCUCAACCUGGGAACGGCAUCCGGAACUGUCAGGCUAGAGUGCAGGAGAGGAAGGUAGAAUUCCCGGUGUAGCGGUGAAAUGCGUAGAGAUCGGGAGGAAUACCAGUGGCGAAGGCGGCCUUCUGGACUGACACUGACGCUGAGGUGCGAAAGCGUGGGUAGCAAACAGGAUUAGAUACCCUUGUAGUC